AAACCAGUCAAAGGGCACCUCUUAAUUGGCAGGUAAUAUAUAUAGUCAGAACUUGGUUUCACUCACAAACUUGCCAAAGGAGAGUUGCCCUGUGACUGAUUU
This 102-nucleotide microRNA precursor is filed under the name Corchorus capsularis. RNAcentral's name for it is "pre miRNA mir-399". The record is from RNAcentral. Lineage: Eukaryota; Viridiplantae; Streptophyta; Magnoliopsida; Malvales; Malvaceae.